Physella acuta is the source of this 636-nucleotide long non-coding RNA. RefSeq lists it as uncharacterized. NCBI's taxonomy places the organism in Eukaryota, Metazoa, Mollusca, Gastropoda, Physidae. The record is from RefSeq and is a predicted model, not a curated record.
CGAAAUAUUUAAAAAAAUGCACGUAUUUAAAGUAUAUAAAACACAAGUAUUUUCUAUAUGACUGUACAUCUCACUUGAUUUGAAAUCAAACUUGUGGUGAAACAUUUACAGAUUUUUUAAAGCAACUCACAAAAUGUAUCUGAUUCCCGCUGUUCUACUCCUGAGUUUAGCCUCAGCUGUAAAUGGCGUUGACUUUGCAACAUGUGCGCAGGAGUUUUCUCAAAAAGUGACCCCUCGUAUUGAACAAGGUAGAGUCAGCUUUCUACAGUCAUCCACCUACACGGCUGCGGCAGGUGGGUUUAAGAAAGUUGUCAAUAAGGUCAACUUCACAACCCCUUUCAGUACCCCACCAGCUGUUAUUGUCACAUUAGAAGUUCUCGAUUUAGUUAAAACCGGCGACACAAGGUUUUGGGUCCAUACAGGCGAGAUCACCAACACCGGCGCUGAGAUUGUUUUUGAAACAUGGGGUGACACCGAUAUCAGAGGAGGGUGGAUCCACUGGUAUGCCUUCAGGGUAUAGACGUUAAAGAAGCGUCAAUGUUUUGGUGCUUGUUUCGUGACGUCUAGAAUACAAGUAGUCGUUAACAUUUAGUGAUACUACUCAGAUCCAUCUGACGUUACCUAAUAAUAAACGUG